UCCUCGGUGGCUCAGAUGGAUAGAGCGUCUGCCAUGUAAGCAGGAGAUCCCGAGUUCGAAUCCCGGUCGGGGAA
RNAcentral lists this transfer RNA (74 nucleotides) under Schistocerca americana (American grasshopper). RNAcentral's name for it is "tRNA-Thr". It matches the Rfam family "tRNA". From Rfam's summary of the family: Transfer RNA (tRNA) molecules are approximately 80 nucleotides in length. RNAcentral also lists the same sequence under 1 other name. The record is from RNAcentral. Lineage: Eukaryota; Metazoa; Arthropoda; Insecta; Orthoptera; Acrididae.